Clostridiales bacterium 41_21_two_genomes is the source of this 154-nucleotide non-coding RNA. The record is from Rfam. NCBI's taxonomy places the organism in Bacteria, Bacillati, Bacillota, Clostridia, Eubacteriales.
UAUUCAGAGCCAUGCAAAAUUGCUUUCUGUGAAUGCUUGCAUUCAGACAGAAUAGCAAUUUUAUAUGGCGAAGUAACCACAUGAGCAAAAUAGAAGCAUCGAAGAUGCGAUUUUGCGAAUGGGGUUCUGAAUAGUUACAAAAAUUGACAGAAUA